UAAUAUAUCGGAACGUGCCCAGUAGUGGGGGAUAGCCCGGCGAAAGCCGGAUUAAUACCGCAUACGACCUACGGGUGAAAGGGGGGGAUCGCAAGACCUCUCGCUAUUGGAGCGGCCGAUAUCAGAUUAGCUAGUUGGUGGGGUAAAAGCUCACCAAGGCGACGAUCUGUAGCUGGUCUGAGAGGAUGAUCAGUCACACUGGAACUGAGACACGGUCCAG
Molecule: ribosomal RNA, 220 nt
Filed under: uncultured bacterium
Lineage: Bacteria
Description: partial 16S ribosomal RNA
Rfam family: Bacterial small subunit ribosomal RNA
Source: RNAcentral